RNAcentral lists this ribosomal RNA (253 nucleotides) under uncultured bacterium. RNAcentral describes it as "partial 16S ribosomal RNA". It matches the Rfam family "Bacterial small subunit ribosomal RNA", at positions 524 to 776 of the family's 1533-position model. The record is from RNAcentral.
GACAGCGGAGGCGAGCGUUAUCCGGAGUUAUUGGGCGUAAAGGGUACGUAGGCGGCUGGUCAAGUCUGGGGUUAAAGACCACAGCUUAACUGUGGUGGGGCCUUGGAAACUGACCGGCUGGAGUGGGGCAGGGGUUGCGGGAAUUCCCGGUGUAGCGGUGAAAUGCGUAGAUAUCGGGAAGAACACCUGAGGCGAAAGCGCGCAACUGGGCCCCAACUGACGCUGAGGUACGAAAGCUAGGGGAGCGAAUGGG